RNAcentral lists this ribosomal RNA (253 nucleotides) under uncultured bacterium. RNAcentral describes it as "partial 16S ribosomal RNA". It matches the Rfam family "Bacterial small subunit ribosomal RNA", at positions 524 to 776 of the family's 1533-position model. The record is from RNAcentral.
UACGGGGGGGGCAAGCGUUGUUCGGAAUUACUGGGCGUAAAGGGUUCGUAGGUGGCCUACUAAGUCAUACGUGAAAUCCCUCAGCUUAACUGGGGAACUGCGUCUGAGACUGGAAGGCUUGAGUGCAGGAGAGGAACGCGGAAUUCCAGGUGUAGCGGUGAAAUGCGCAGAUAUCAGGAAGAACCCCAAUGGCGAAAGCAGCUUUCUGGGACGGUACUGACGCUGAGACGCGAAAGCGUGGGGAGCGAACAGG